GAUGAACGCUAGCGAUAGGCUUAACACAUGCAAGUCGAGCGCCCCGCAAGGGGAGCGGCAGACGGGUGAGUAACGCGUGGGAAUCUACCUUUUGCUACGGAAUAACUCAGGGAAACUUGUGCUAAUACCGUAUGUGCCCUUCGGGGGAAAGAUUUAUUGGCAAAGGAUGAGCCCGCGUUGGAUUAGCUAGUUGGUGGGGUAAAGGCCUACCAAGGCGACGAUCCAUAGCUGGUCUGAGAGGAUGAUCAGCCACACUGGGACUGAGACACGGCCCAG
Molecule: ribosomal RNA, 276 nt
Filed under: uncultured bacterium
Lineage: Bacteria
Description: partial 16S ribosomal RNA
Rfam family: Bacterial small subunit ribosomal RNA
Source: RNAcentral